AGACCCGAAACCCGGUGAUCUAGCCAUGGGCAGGUUGAAGGUUGGGUAACACUAACUGGAGGACCGAACCGACUAAUGUUGAAAAAUUAGCGGAUGACCUGUGGCUGGGGGUGAAAGGCCAAUCAAACCGGGAGAUAGCUGGUUCUCCCCGAAAGCUAUUUAGGUAGCGCCUCGUGAAUUCAUCUCCGGGGGUAGAGCACUGUUUCGGCUAGGGGGCCAUCCCGGCUUACCAACCCGAUGCAAACUGCGAAUACCGGAGAAUGUUAUCACGGGAGACACACGGCGGGUGCUAACGUCCGUCGUGAAGAGGGAAACAACCCAGACCGCCAGCUAAGGUCCCAAAGUCAUGGUUAAGUGGGAAACGAUGUGGGAAGGCCCAGACAGCCAGGAUGUUGGCUUAGAAGCAGCCAUCAUUUAAAGAAAGCGUAAUAGCUCACUGGUCGAGUCGGCCUGCGCGGAAGAUGUAACGGGGCUAAACCAUGCACCGAAGCUGCGGCAGCGACACUCAGGUGUUGUUGGGUAGGGGAGCGUUCUGUAAGCCUGUGAAGGUGGCCUGUGAGGGUUGCUGGAGGUAUCAGAAGUGCGAAUGCUGACAUAAGUAACGAUAAAGCGGGUGAAAAGCCCGCUCGCCGGAAGACCAAGGGUUCCUGUCCAACGUUAAUCGGGGCAGGGUGAGUCGACCCCUAAGGCGAGGCCGAAAGGCGUAGUCGAUGGGAAACGGGUUAAUAUUCCCGUACUUGGUGUUACUGCGAAGGGGGGACGGAGAAGGCUAUGUUGGCCGGGCGACGGUUGUCCCGGUUUAAGCGUGUAGGUGUGUGUUCCAGGUAAAUCCGGUUCACUUUAACACUGAGGCGUGAUGACGAGGCACUACGGUGCUGAAGCAACAAAUGCCCUGCUUCCAGGAAAAGCCUCUAAGCAUCAGGUAACAUCAAAUCGUACCCCAAACCGACACAGGUGGUCAGGUAGAGAAUACCAAGGCGCUUGAGAGAACUCGGGUGAAGGAACUAGGCAAAAUGGUGCCGUAACUUCGGGAGAAGGCACGCUGACACGUAGGUGAAGUGAUUUACUCAUGGA
This 1074-nucleotide ribosomal RNA is filed under the name Salmonella enterica. RNAcentral's name for it is "partial 23S ribosomal RNA". It matches the Rfam family "Bacterial large subunit ribosomal RNA", at positions 711 to 1773 of the family's 2925-position model. Lineage: Bacteria; Pseudomonadati; Pseudomonadota; Gammaproteobacteria; Enterobacterales; Enterobacteriaceae. The record is from RNAcentral.